AACGAACGCUGGCGGCAGGCCUAACACAUGCAAGUCGAGCGCGCCCUUCGGGGUGAGCGGCGGACGGGUGAGUAACGCGUGGGAACGUGCCCUUUUCUACGGAAUAGCCUCGGGAAACUGAGAGUAAUACCGUAUACGCCCUUUGGGGGAAAGAUUUAUCGGAAAAGGAUCGGCCCGCGUUGGAUUAGGUAGUGGGUGGGGUAAUGGCCUACCAAGCCGACGAUCCAUAGCUGGUUGGAGAGGAUGAUCAGCCACACUGGGACUGAGACACGGCCCAGACUCCUACGGGAGGCAGCAGUGGGGAAUCUUAGACAAUGGGGGCAACCCUGAUAUAGCCAGGCCGCGUGAGUGAUGAAGGCCUUAGGGUUGGAAAGCUCUUUCAGCUGGGAAGAUAAUGACGGUACCAGCAGAAGAAGCCCCGGCUAACUACGUG
This 433-nucleotide ribosomal RNA is filed under the name uncultured bacterium. RNAcentral's name for it is "partial 16S ribosomal RNA". It matches the Rfam family "Bacterial small subunit ribosomal RNA", at positions 29 to 507 of the family's 1533-position model. The record is from RNAcentral.